RNAcentral lists this ribosomal RNA (494 nucleotides) under uncultured bacterium. RNAcentral's name for it is "partial 16S ribosomal RNA". It matches the Rfam family "Bacterial small subunit ribosomal RNA", at positions 28 to 507 of the family's 1533-position model. The record is from RNAcentral.
GACGAACGCUGGCGGCGCGCUUAACACAUGCAAGUCGAACGGAAAGGCCUGCUUUCCCUUGUGGAUUGCGGGUACUCGAGUGGCGAACGGGUGAGUAACACGUGAGUGAUCUGCCCCCAACUUGGGUAUAAGCCUGGGAAACUGGGUCUAAUUCCCGAUAGGACUGCAGGGUGGUGCCUGUGGUGGAAAACGAUUUUCUAGUGGUUGGGGAUGAGCUCGCGGCCUAUCAGCUUGUUGGUGGGGUAAUGGCCUACCAAGGCGGCGACGGGUAGCCAGCCUGAGAGGGUGGACGGCCACAUUGGGACUGGGAUACGGCCCAGACUCCUACGGGAGGCAGCAGUGGGGAAUAUUGCACAAUGGGCGGAAGCCUGAUGCAGCGACGCCGCGUGGGGGAUGACGGCCUUCGGGUUGUAAACUCCUUUCGACCGCGAGGAAGCCACCUGGUUGGAAGGGUGGUGACGGUAGUGGUAGAAGAAGCACCGGCUAACUACGUG